Molecule: ribosomal RNA, 484 nt
Filed under: uncultured bacterium
Lineage: Bacteria
Description: partial 16S ribosomal RNA
Rfam family: Bacterial small subunit ribosomal RNA
Source: RNAcentral
AUUGAACGCUGGCGGCAUGCUUUACACAUGCAAGUCGAACGGCAGCGCGGGCUUCGGCCUGGCGGCGAGUGGCGAACGGGUGAGUAAUACAUCGGAACGUGCCCAGUAGUUGGGGAUAGCUCGGCGAAAGCCGGAUUAAUACCGCAUACGACCUGAGGGUGAAAGCGGGGGAUCUUCGGACCUCGCGCUAUUGGAGCGGCCGAUGGCAGAUUAGCUAGUUGGUGGGGUAAAGGCCUACCAAGGCGACGAUCUGUAGCUGGUCUGAGAGGACGACCAGCCACACUGGGACUGAGACACGGCCCAGACUCCUACGGGAGGCAGCAGUGGGGAAUUUUGGACAAUGGGCGAAAGCCUGAUCCAGCAAUGCCGCGUGUGUGAUGAAGGCCUUCGGGUUGUAAAGCACUUUUGGCGGGAAAGAAAAGGACUGUGCCAAUACCACGGUUCGAUGACGGUACCCGCAGAAUAAGCACCGGCUAACUACGUG